CCUACGUGAGGCAGCAGUGGGGAAUAUUGCGCAAUGGGCGAAAGCCUGACGCAGCGACGCAGCGUGAGGGAUGAAGGUCUUCGGAUCGUAAACCUCUGUCAGCAGGGAAGAACGGUCACUGUGCUAAUCAGCAGUGAAUUGACGGUACCUGCAAAGGAAGCACCGGCUAACUCCGUGCCAGCAGCCGCGGUAAUACGGAGGGUGCGAGCGUUAAUCGGAAUUACUGGGCGUAAAGCGCUCGUAGGCGGUAUGUCAAGUCAAGGGUGAAAUCCCCGCGCUCAACGUGGGAACUGCCUUUGAAACUGGCAAACUGGAGUGUGUGAGAGGAUAGUGGAAUUCCAGGUGUAGGAGUGAAAUCCGUAGAUAUCUGGAGGAACAUCAGUGGCGAAGGCGACUAUCUGGCACAUAACUGACGCUGAGGAGCGAAAGCGUGGGUAGCAAACAGGAUUAGAUACCCCAGUAGUC
RNAcentral lists this ribosomal RNA (465 nucleotides) under uncultured bacterium. Its description in RNAcentral is "partial 16S ribosomal RNA". It matches the Rfam family "Bacterial small subunit ribosomal RNA", at positions 338 to 795 of the family's 1533-position model. The record is from RNAcentral.